CUGAUAAUAAUUAUUUAAGGGCCGCAGUAUUUUGACUGUGCAAAGGUAGCAUAAUCAUUAGUCUUUUAAUUGAAGGCUUGUAUGAAUGAUUGGACGAGAUAUAAUCUGUCUCAUAAGAAAAUAAAUUAAAAUUUUAUUUUUUAGUUAAAAAGCUAAAAUAAUUUUAAAAGACGAGAAGACCCUAUAGAUCUUUAUAAUUUAUUUAUUAAUUUUUUUAGGUUAUUUUUUAAGUUUAUAAAUAUAAUUAUUUUGUUGGGGUGACAAUGAAAUUUGAUAAACUUUCAUUAAUUUUAUACAUUGAUUUAUGGCUAUUUGAUCCAUUAUUAUUGAUUAAAAAUUUAAGUUACCUUAGGGAUAACAGCGUAAUUAUUUUGGAGAGUUCAUAUCGAUAAAAUAGUUUGCGACCUCGAUGUUGGAUUAAGAUUAAUAUUGGGUGUAGCAGUUCAAUAUAUUAAGUCUGUUCGACUUUUAAUUUCUUACGUGAUCUGAGUUCA
Molecule: ribosomal RNA, 494 nt
Filed under: Dolichopodidae sp. BAH_28362_C03
Lineage: Eukaryota; Metazoa; Arthropoda; Insecta; Diptera; Dolichopodidae
Description: partial 16S ribosomal RNA
Rfam family: Bacterial large subunit ribosomal RNA
Source: RNAcentral